This 598-nucleotide ribosomal RNA is filed under the name Haemophilus influenzae. RNAcentral describes it as "bacterial SSU rRNA". It matches the Rfam family "Bacterial small subunit ribosomal RNA", at positions 88 to 682 of the family's 1533-position model. Lineage: Bacteria; Pseudomonadati; Pseudomonadota; Gammaproteobacteria; Pasteurellales; Pasteurellaceae. The record is from RNAcentral.
CUGACGAGUGGCGGACGGGUGAGUAAUGCUUGGGAAUCUGGCUUAUGGAGGGGGAUAACGACGGGAAACUGUCGCUAAUACCGCGUAUUAUCGAAAGAUUAAAGUGUGGGACUUUGAGGCCGCAUGCCAUAGGAUGAGCCCAAGUGGGAUUAGGUAGUUGGUGGGGUAAAAGCCUACCAAGCCUGCGAUCUCUAGCUGGUCUGAGAGGAUGACCAGCCACACUGGAACUGAGACACGGUCCAGACUCCUACGGGAGGCAGCAGUGGGGAAUAUUGCGCAAUGGGGGGAACCCUGACGCAGCCAUGCCGCGUGAAUGAAGAAGGCCUUAGGGUUGUAAAGUUCUUUCGGUAUUGAGGAAGGUUGAUGUGUUAAUAGCACAUCAAAUUGACGUUAAAUACAGAAGAAGCACCGGCUAACUCCGUGCCAGCAGCCGCGGUAAUACGGAGGGUGCGAGCGUUAAUCGGAAUAACUGGGCGUAAAGGGCACGCAGGCGGUUAUUUAAGUGAGGUGUGAAAGCCCCGGGCUUAACCUGGGAAUUGCAUUUCAGACUGGGUAACUAGAGUACUUUAGGGAGGGGUAGAAUUCCACGUGUAGCGGU